RNA transcript from Thamnophis sirtalis, 3571 nucleotides. It is a transcript of the gene named translocase of outer mitochondrial membrane 7, with no coding region annotated. The record is from RefSeq and is a predicted model, not a curated record. NCBI's taxonomy places the organism in Eukaryota, Metazoa, Chordata, Lepidosauria, Squamata, Natricidae.
GGGCCAGCCGAGUUAAGGUUGAGCCUUUCUAACUGCCGCCAUUGGGCCUCGGCUGUUUUUUGAGUUGCUGCCGCCGACAUGCCGAAGCUGAGCAAGGAAGCUAAGCAGCGACUGCAGCACCUCUUCAAAGGUGGUCAGCUGGCCAUCCGCUGGGGCUUCAUCCCUGUCGUGCUUUACUUAGGUUUUAAGAGAGGUGCAGAUCCUGGAAUGCCUGAACCAACUCUUUUGAGUCUACUUUGGGGUUGAAGGAAUGAAUCAAUGUAUUUUGAGAGUAUGCUUUUUGAAGAUGGAUACAUUCUGGAGACUAGAAGAACUCUUAUGCAAUGUUACUGUCCAGCGAUUUAUCUGAUAACAUGCCAUACAAAUAUGUUUUGCAACGGAAAAAAAAAACAUUAGAGAUUAUGUGCUCUUGCAAAUAAAUAGUCAGCACUGAUUGUGUGAGGAGAUGAAAAACCCAAUCACCACAUCACCUAUUUUGAAUUUAAAAUUGGUUGCUGUAUAUCCUUAUUGAAAAUGCUUCUGCUAUUUUGCCUAUACUACAAAUGUCAAGAGCUUGAAAAACUAAUGGUAUGUUUUGAAGAACAUUAAGCUACUUCUUGUAUAUCCGGGACAACUGUUUUGUGCUCAAAAUGGGGCAUUUCUGGCUGGAACUAUUCCAGUUGUGGGACACUAGAGAAAAGAGUACAAUGGAUGUACAAAUCUUCAUUUGCACAAUGAUAAUCUGCCUCACAAAUAUAUGUGUAGGCUACAUUGUUCACAAAUUGUAAUUUGCCAUUGCGUAGUAAUGUUAUAUCUGUAGCAGUGUGAUGAGUAUCUUCCUUUUCACAAAUACAUGGAAAUAAUUUCAAUUUACUGGAACUAUUGUAGUGUACAGUCAACUGUCAAAAAUAUUUUUUCUCUCAGCCACUGAAAUCCUGUCUGAAAAAGACUAAAGUGGUCUAUAAGGAAUUUGCUUAAUCCACAAGCAAAUACUACCCAAAAAAGAAUGGGCAUCUGAUAACUGAGCAAUUUACGAAAAACAACCAUGCCUUUAAAAAUGAAAGUGAAAACAUACACCCUGGAACAAAGUGAACAAUGCAGAAGGUAACUUCCUCUUGAAUUCCUCUCCCAGAAAAUUCCCAGAAUUGUCUCUGCUUACUUGAAUGUUAAAACUAGUACUUAUUCAAUUUUAUUUUUAAUUAGGAAAAAAAGGACACACACCUUUCUUAUAUGGCCAAAUUGGACAAUCUUGUAAUCACUGCAUUGAUGUGGAUCUAAUGACCCAGCAAAUGAAAAAGACUGCAUAAUUUUUGCUUCCAGAAAGGACUGUUUGUUUUGUGCAGCAAAAAUAGCAAAGGAUUUUGAAUCACUUGAAAAACUAACCAAACUUGUUUAUAUCAUAUUCUACUGGCUCAGAUCCAUAUUUCUAAGGAAGUAAUCCAUGAAAUCUUAUUGAACAAUAAACUAAUUCUGUUUAAACAACCAUACUAUUAGCAGAUAUUUAACCAACCUUUACUAUUAGAGGAUAAUAUUUGAAUAUUUCCAAAAAAUAUAUUAAAGGACUGGCGGUGCCUGUAAAGAAGGCUCGAGCAAAUUAUUGUAUCCUACUCAAGGCUUUGCCUUCCUUUUUUUUGCUUGUAAUAAAUGCUUUACUUUGGUAACUCACCAGCUUCUUUGGGAAAGAUCGGACUCUAAUUAUUAAGCUACCUGAGUACAAGCCCCAUCCCACGCACCAGCAAGCUUCAUACCGCAAGGCUCAAGUCAUCUAAGCACGGGAAUCAAAACGACUCCCGGCGCUUCCAAGAAAAGGUGAAACCAGACACCAGCUCCAAGAAACGGAGCAUCCUCCUAAAUCGAGGCAGACUUUCCCUUGUUAAAAGUCGCAAAAGCUCAGAUCAGAAGAUGAGCCACGCUCCUUUUUCGGCUCCCUACAAAGACCAACCUUAAGACUUCCUAACUGUGCGCCCGAACUCACCUCUUGAUUCCACGUUGCUGCAGUACCUUGUAGCCAAAGAGCCAACUCUGUCGGAACGUUCAGCUGGACGCGCCCGGCUGCCGAAGUUCUGGAGGAGGGAUCCUCUCCAAAUUCCUCUUCUCCGGAGGAAUCUCCGAUAGGGAAAGCGCGAGCUCCAAAGAGCAGCAGGAGGGCAGCAGCAGCCCAGGAACAGCCUGGUGAAAGAGACAGAAAAGAGGAAAUGCAGUGAGCAGGUCUUUUUCGGCUAAGUUAUAGACGCUCCCUUGUCCAAUUUGUUUUAAACUUACAUCCCGAUAGUGCAAGCAUUAUCUUUAGAAUUUAGAUCUUUUUUCUUUUUCUUUUUGCAAUAUGCAAGAAGCUUUGUAGUCUGCGUGGCUGAAGGGCUGAAUGAGUGAUGCCACAUUUCGAACCUACUGUAUUUAUUGAAAGGCUCUGGGAAAAUCCAUGGUUAGUUAACGUAGAGCAGGUUUUUUUUAGUUUUUUUUAAUACUACAUCGCAGAGGAAGGAAACAGGAAUACAGCAAAAGCUCGUAAAUCGGAAUUCUGUGGGCUUAAUUUAUGAGAUAAUUUUUAAAAAACCAUAGACAUCCAUGUUUUUUUAUUUGACAGAAAGGCCAAGCUGUUGGGAUAAUAUGGGAAAAUUAUUUAAAAAUCAAGUUUAUUUUAAUAAAUUUUGAUCUGUAGUCAUGCAAUCUAUAGUAAGCCUCAUGGGAAGUGCAGGGAGUUACUUUUAAAGAGACUUAGAGUGUUGUUUAAAGUAGCUGAUGAUUUUACAUGGGACAGAGUAAUUUUAUUUUCCCCCCAAAUAAAAUAUAAUUAAAAACCAAAGAAGGUAUAAUGAAUACAGUUUGUUUAGUUUCAUGAACCCAGACAAUUGUGAUUUAUACUUGAAUUUAAAGAAUCAACUUCAUGAGUGAAUAGAAUCUUUCGCUAAGUCAGGGUUGGUUUUAAGAUUAGUGUUAAUGGGGCAGGGAAAUAGUUUAGCCCUGUGAUUCAAUGAAAUCCACAAGAGUGUUUUGAAUUUCUCUGUUCAGUUAGUGGCUGGCAUUAAUUACUUUAGGUUAAAAAAGUGUUUUGCAAUUGAAAAUAUUACAUUAUGAACAAAAUCUCUCUAAAUUUUGAGCACCUUAUCCCAUUUAAAUCUGUACAUCACACUAAAUGAUAUUAUAAAGUAAUUUAUUUGAUUUGGCUUAGCACAGGGGUGUCAAACUCGUGUCAUCAUGGUGUUGUCACUUGAUGUAUUGUGACUUUUCCCCCUUUGCUAAACUGGGCAUGGGCAUGGCCAGUGCGUGAUACAUCUGGCCUGUGAGUUUGACAGCCCUGGCUUAGCAUCUUAUAUGGAUCCAGAUCAUUUGUGGAUUGUGAAUUAUAGUAUAAGCAUUAUGUGUUAAUCAGACUUGUUUAAUGAACUAUAGUCAGUUUAUCAUUCAGCCCAAUAUACACUGGUAACAAUGAAAAUAGUUCAUGGAUAAAUUAUUGUAUUUUGUUUUUGGUAUUCAUCUCAACUUAUUUAUUUUGUGGGGUUUUUUUCUUUUUAUGUUGUACACCACUCAAUAUCUUUUGGGAUUAGGCUAAGUUAUAACUACAAUAAAAUAAAAUAAAAUUAAUCAUCCAUUA